RNAcentral lists this ribosomal RNA (545 nucleotides) under Metamycoplasma canadense. RNAcentral describes it as "bacterial SSU rRNA". It matches the Rfam family "Bacterial small subunit ribosomal RNA", at positions 353 to 899 of the family's 1533-position model. The record is from RNAcentral. Lineage: Bacteria; Bacillati; Mycoplasmatota; Mycoplasmoidales; Metamycoplasmataceae.
AGUAGGGAAUAUUCCACAAUGAGCGAAAGCUUGAUGGAGCGACACAGCGUGCACGAUGAAGGUCUUCGGAUUGUAAAGUGCUGUUAUAGGGAAAGAACACUUGGUUGAGGAAAUGCUUCCAAGCUGACGGUACCCUGUCAGAAAGCGAUGGCUAACUAUGUGCCAGCAGCCGCGGUAAUACAUAGGUCGCAAGCGUUAUCCGGAAUUAUUGGGCGUAAAGCGUUCGUAGGCUGUUUAUUAAGUCUGGAGUCAAAUACCAGGGCUCAACCCUGGCUCGCUUUGGAUACUGGUAAACUAGAGUUAGAUAGAGGUAAGCGGAAUUCCAUGUGAAGCGGUGAAAUGCGUAGAUAUAUGGAAGAACACCAAAGGCGAAGGCAGCUUACUGGGUCUAUACUGACGCUGAGGGACGAAAGCGUGGGGAGCAAACAGGAUUAGAUACCCUGGUAGUCCACGCCGUAAACGAUGAUCAUUAGUCGGUGGAGAAUUCACUGACGCAGCUAACGNAUUAAAUGAUCCGCCUGAGUAGUAUGCUCGCAAGAGUGAAA